UACGUAGGGGGCAAGCGUUGUCCGGAAUUAUUGGGCGUAAAGAGCGUGUAGGCGGUCCGGUAAGUCAGCUGUGAAAGUCAAGGGCUCAACCCUUGAAUGCCGGUUGAUACUGUCGGGCUAGAGUCCGGAAGAGGCGAGUGGAAUUCCUGGUGUAGCGGUGAAAUGCGCAGAUAUCAGGAGGAACACCAAUGGCGAAGGCAGCUCGCUGGAACGGUACUGACGCUGAGGCGCGAAAGCGUGGGGAGCAAGCAGG
This 253-nucleotide ribosomal RNA is filed under the name uncultured bacterium. RNAcentral's name for it is "partial 16S ribosomal RNA". It matches the Rfam family "Bacterial small subunit ribosomal RNA", at positions 524 to 776 of the family's 1533-position model. The record is from RNAcentral.